GACGAACGCUGGCGGCGUGCUUAACACAUGCAAGUUGAACGAGAAUUUUUCGAGUGAUUUCUUCGGAAUGAUCAUGAAAACGGAAAGUAGCGAACGGGUGAGUAACACGUGAGAAACCUGCCUUUCACAAAGGGAUAGCCUCGGGAAACCGGGAUUAAUACCUUAUGAAACCAAACACUCGCAUGAGAGAUUGGUUAAAGGUUUAUCGGUGUUAGAUGGUCUCGCGUCUGAUUAGCUAGUUGGUGGGAUAAAAGCCUACCAAGGCAACGAUCAGUAGCCGGAUUGAGAGGUUGAACGGCCACACUGGAACUGAGACACGGUCCAGACUCCUACGGGAGGCAGCAGUGGGGAAUUUUGCACAAUGGAGGAAACUCUGAUGCAGCGACGCCGCGUGAGUGAUGAAGGUCUUCGGAUUGUAAAACUCUGUCCUGAGUGAAGAUAAUGACAGUAACUAAGAAGCAAGCCCUGGCUAAAUACGUG
Molecule: ribosomal RNA, 480 nt
Filed under: uncultured bacterium
Lineage: Bacteria
Description: partial 16S ribosomal RNA
Rfam family: Bacterial small subunit ribosomal RNA
Source: RNAcentral